Molecule: ribosomal RNA, 88 nt
Filed under: Gastrolobium dilatatum
Lineage: Eukaryota; Viridiplantae; Streptophyta; Magnoliopsida; Fabales; Fabaceae
Source: RNAcentral
GGAUCCCAUCAGAACUCCGCAGUUAAGCGUGCUUGGCGAGAGUAGUACUAGGAUAGGUGACCUCCUGGGAAGUCCUCGUGUUGCACCU